This 254-nucleotide ribosomal RNA is filed under the name uncultured bacterium. RNAcentral describes it as "partial 16S ribosomal RNA". It matches the Rfam family "Bacterial small subunit ribosomal RNA", at positions 524 to 776 of the family's 1533-position model. The record is from RNAcentral.
UACGGGGGGAGCAAGCGUUGUUCGGAUUUACUGGGCGUAAAGGGCGCGUAGGCGGCCAGCGCAAGUCAGUUGUGAAAUCUCCGGGCUUAACUCGGAACGGUCAACUGAUACUGCGCGGCUAGAGUGCAGAAGGGGCAACUGGAAUUCUCGGUGUAGCGGUGAAAUGCGUAGAUAUUCGGAAGAACACCAGUGGCGAAGGCGGCUCACUGGACCGGUAUUGACGCUGAGGUGCGAAAGCGUGGGGAGCAAACAGG